GCAGCCGCGGUAAUACGUAGGUGGCGAGCGUUGUCCGGAUUUACUGGGUGUAAAGGGCGUGUAGGCGGGGAAUCAAGUCAGAUGUGAAAUGCCGUGGCUUAACCACGGAGCUGCAUUUGAAACUGAUACUCUUGAGUGAUGGAGAGGUAAGCGGAAUUCCUAGUGUAGCGGUAAAAUGCGUAGAUAUUAGGAGGAACACCGGUGGCGAAGGCGGCUUACUGGACAUUAACUGACGCUGAGGCGCGAAAGCGUGGGGAGCAAACAGGAUUAGAUACCCC
This 278-nucleotide ribosomal RNA is filed under the name uncultured bacterium. RNAcentral's name for it is "partial 16S ribosomal RNA". It matches the Rfam family "Bacterial small subunit ribosomal RNA", at positions 511 to 788 of the family's 1533-position model. The record is from RNAcentral.